AUUGAACGCUGGCGGCAUGCCUUACACAUGCAAGUCGAACGGCAGCGCGGACUUCGGUCUGGCGGCGAGUGGCGAACGGGUGAGUAAUACAUCGGAACGUACCCUGUUGUGGGGGAUAGCUAGUCGAAAGGUUAGCUAAUACCGCAUACGACCUGAGGGUGAAAGUGGGGGACCGCAAGGCCUCACGCAGCAGGAGCGGCCGAUGUCUGAUUAGCUAGUUGGUGGGGUAAAGGCCCACCAAGGCGACGAUCAGUAGCUGGUCUGAGAGGGCGAUCAGCCACACUGGGACUGAGACACGGCCCAGACUCCUACGGGAGGCAGCAGUGGGGAAUUUUGGACAAUGGGGGCAACCCUGAUCCAGCAAUGCCGCGUGUGUGAAGAAGGCCUUCGGGUUGUAAAGCACUUUUGUCCGGAAAGAAAUCGCGCUGGUUAAUACCUGGCGUGGAUGACGGUACCGGAAGAAUAAGCACCGGCUAACUACGUGCCAGCCGCCGCGGUAA
Molecule: ribosomal RNA, 500 nt
Filed under: uncultured bacterium
Lineage: Bacteria
Description: partial 16S ribosomal RNA
Rfam family: Bacterial small subunit ribosomal RNA
Source: RNAcentral